RNAcentral lists this ribosomal RNA (369 nucleotides) under uncultured Bacillota bacterium. Its description in RNAcentral is "bacterial SSU rRNA". It matches the Rfam family "Bacterial small subunit ribosomal RNA", at positions 521 to 896 of the family's 1533-position model. Lineage: Bacteria; Bacillati; Bacillota. The record is from RNAcentral.
UAAUACGUAGGGAGCGAGCGUUAUCCGGAAUUAUUGGGCGUAAAGCGUGCGUAGGCGUUUUGUUAAGUCAAAUGUGAAAGCCCUCAGCUUAACUGAGGAGUGUCAUUUGAAACUGGCAGAAUUGAGUACGGCAGAGGUUAGUGGAAUUCAAUGUGUAGCGGUGGAAUGCGUAGAUAUAUUGAGGAACACCAGUGGCGAAGGCGGCUAACUGGACCGGAACUGACGCUGAGGCACGAAAGCGUGGGGAGCAAACAGGAUUAGAUACCCUGGUAGUCCACGCCGUAAACGAUGAGAACUAAGUGUUGGGGUUACCCAGUGCUGAAGUUAACACAUUAAGUUCUCCGCCUGGGGAGUACGACCGCAAGGUUG